This is a long non-coding RNA of Bubalus bubalis (water buffalo), 4893 nucleotides long. RefSeq lists it as uncharacterized. The transcript has 2 exons. NCBI's taxonomy places the organism in Eukaryota, Metazoa, Chordata, Mammalia, Artiodactyla, Bovidae. The record is from RefSeq and is a predicted model, not a curated record.
UGGAGAAUGGCAUGGCAACGCACUCCAGUAUUCUUGCUUGGAGACUCCCAUGAACAGGGGAGCCUGGUGGGCUACAGUCCAUGGGGUCACAAAGAAUUGGACACUGCUGAAGUGACUUAGCACUCGGAAAACAGAAAGCUGUAGGGCACCUUCUUUAUAGGCUACAUGGAGUGGCCAGUUUUAGUUGGGACCACUUACAGCAUCACAAGAUGUGAGACUUGGAAGGAACUUCAGAGAGUCUGUCCAAAUUCCCAGAGGAGGAAGCUGAGGCCCAGAGAGGGUAAGGGACUGGUCCAAGCACACACAGCACAAGCAGGACUAAAAAUCACUGCUCUCCAGGAGUCUCUCCACUUUAAUGCACUGGCUUAUCACUUACUGAAAAAAAAUGAAGCCCCAAAUCUCUAGCCAGAUCCUAAGUCUAAGCUUAAUUAGCCUGUUGCACUUUUUUUUUUUUUAUUUUAAUGAAAGCUGUAAAAUUGUUGGAUUCCAGCUGAGAGAAAAACCACAAAUUCUCAGCUGUGGCCUACUGUGAGGAAACGUAAGGAUCAAACCUCAGCAUGGGAAUGAAUGCGAGGCAUUUAGGAUUAUUGUGGAGCUUGGCCGCAAUAACAAAAGCCUGUUCCAUGGUGGAAAGGACCAUGUUACAUUUCCAUUCUUAUUGGCAUUUGAAAAAAUAGAACAGAAAUUAUUUCUUGGGUAGAAGCAGUUUCUGUGACUGGGAAAGACUUCUUGCUCAUUACUCCUCCCUUUACUGUUCAUAUAUUUCCCAUUGAUGGUUACUGAAACAGCAGAUACUUCAUACAGAGAACAUUUAUCACAGCAGAUUCUUGAUUAAAGGUUCUUCCAGUGAAGCAGUCAUGGCCAAGGGAGUAAAUUAGGCUUUUUCCGGAAGCUUCACGAACACUCAGUCUAACAUGGCUUUAAUUUCCAAACUAGAGUUUGGCAGGCCCAGGUCUCAGCAACGUCCCCAGCCGCCUCCUGUCACACCUGACCUCUUGGUGCCUGGACAGGAGCGGGGUUUCACGGGGCUGAGACCCCUCAGGGGUUGUCACACUGCUUCCCAGUGGCACCCGGACGGCACCUGGGAUGCCGCUGCUGGUUCGGGGAGAUGAGCUGUGUGAUUUCGCAGGGGCCUUGGCCCUGUGAUUGCCUGGUGUGCUGGUAACAUGCUCUUCACGUAGAUUCCCCAGAAGGUCAAUUGUAGAGUUUGGUAGAAUGAGUAGGACGGUAACUUCCACAGGAAGCCUUUGGAUUGUUAGAAGCUGAAGAAGCAACAUCAGUGGCCCCCACUUCUGGGGCGGGGGGCUCCUGGAUCACCAGGCAACAGCACUUUCUGGAACUGUUGGCAGUGGCGGGGGCCCCACCUUUCCUCAUGGUAUCGUUUUCUGGGUCCCUUUGUCUCGUCCUGAGGGCCAUGUGUACCCUGGCUGCAGCGAACAAAUUUUGUGUGGGUGGUGGGAGGGUUAGGGUGGUGGCAGGGGGGCAGGGGGAGGCGGGCAUAGCGCUGUGCCCAGCCAGCCCCUCCUCUGAGCGCUGUAACACAUUGCAGACACCUGUGCAUCCACAGGGCAUGUUGUCAGCACGCUGAAGGGUUAAAUUACUUGUUGAGCGAGUGGACAGCACGAGCACUGACCUUGAAUGUGGACUAAUCAAACCCGUGUAAUAGUGACGCAAGAAGUCACUGAAAAACUGUGGGAGAAGACUUGGAACUUUCUCUAGAAAAGUUCAUUAAUGACCAUUGACAGGGAAGCCCAGCACGCUGCAUGCAGUCCAGGGAGUCGCAAGGAGUGAGACACGACUGAGCAGCUGAACAUCAUCAAUGACGAGAAUACAUCAUAUACAAUAGAUUAUAGAUCAUAUAUAAUCUAUAUACAAUCAUGGAGAACUGAGAUGGAUACUUGAGAAAAAAAACAAAAAAGUUUGCUCUUCCCUCGAAUUUAAAUCACUCCCAUCAUUGAAGUCAAAGGUGAAGUAGAGAAUUAAUUUUCUUCUCCAUUUUCCAUUGAUUUAUUAAUUGUAAAGGUAGGCUUGUACUUACCUGAACAGGCAAGAAUACAAUUGGCAUUUCAAGUCACUUUUACUCUUUUCAUACCCUAGUCUCUCUCACCUUAAAAUAUACCCUCUCCCCCCGAGUGUUUAGGACUUGACAGUUUCACUGCCAUGGCCCGGGGUUCAAAAUCUGAUGGGGGAACUACCCACAAGCCACUUGGUGCAGCCAAAAAAUAAAAAUAAACAUCUACCCUUAAUCCUUAGAACUAUCAGUUGCUUUCUCCCCUUCUCAUUGAAAAACCUGUGAAAGAAUUGUGGGCUCAUGAAUUAUCUCCAUUGCCUAGUUUUUUGUUUGUCCUUCAGAUUUCUCCACUGUGGCUUCUAUUCCCACAGCUCUGCAAAAAGUGCUCCCUCCACGAUAGCCGGUAAUCUCCACAGCAUUCACCCCGUGGAGUAUUUCUGGGUCCUUGUCUUCCUGGAAUGUUCCUUGGAGGACCAUCUGAGAAUCAUUCUAUUGCAUAUGAAAGAAAAACCCAGUUAAAUUGUGGCAGACAAAACCGUAAGUUUCUUGUAAGUUUCUUUAGUAAUUUUCUCCCCUUCACGUCUCUGCUCUAGCAUUAAUCAGAUAUUGUUGUUCAGGUGCUAAGUUGUGUCUGACCCUUUGCAACCCCUUGGAAUUAAUCCUCUAACUUUUCUAUCUCCCUCUCUAUUUAUUCAGCUCUGAGAGUUCCUUGCCUCUCUUUUAAACCUGGUAUUGCUUUUGUAAUGUCUCCUAUCAUAGUUUUUCUGUCAUUUCUUGUUCUCAGAUGAUUCCUUUCUAUUGCAACACAUUCUUGUUUCAUGGAUGCGGUAUUUUGCCUUAUUUUUUCUGGCAAAAUUAAUUAAAAAUUUUCCUCCUACUUCCUAAAUUCUGUUUUCUGAGUAACGUUGUUUGUUGUGGUCUCUGUCCAUUGUGUGGAGACAUUCUGAAAAUGUCCGUGACUCAAAGCCGUCUGUUCACAUUCUAUAGGCAGAUCCUGGCAGCUCUAAAGGGACAGGGAGGCUGCAGCUGGUGGACUGGUGGCUUUGGGGCUAGGUUGACUGGGUGGGAGGCCAGCUUUGGUCAUUUGAUAAAUCUCCAUCUUUCCUCACACCCAAAUAUCACCACGUGCUGGUCUUUUUCCUGGGGCGAUUCUGUUUCUCCAGAAAGGGAUCUUCCAGACUCCGCUGGGGAGGGUGGGUGUAGAUGCCUAGCUGAGGGCUGUCUCAGGACCAGGUUGAAGAAGGCAGCCAGAGGCUUUGUAGUUCUGAAGGUAGGUUGUAACUGCCUCCUUCAGUGCUCAGCAUUACCUCUGCCCUCCUCUUGGACCUGCUAUUUGAGACCACAUCUUCUCUGGCUCAGUUUAUCCAGGGGAUGAGCCUCUAGACUCUUGCUGUGGGGGAGGAGGGCCUCAGAGGUAGGAGGGCUAUUUGAGACUCCCACCAUGCUCCCCCUUGUCACCUUACACUUCAUCCAUACCUUUCAGAUUGCACAGUGCCUCCCAGUGAUGCUGGCCUGUCGGGUGCUGCCGGGCCCCCAGCGUCUCCCCGCACACGUCCAGGUCAGCGUCCUCCACCCGCUGAAGUCAUUUACCUUCCGUACAUCUCUCAAGCCCUUACUGACUUUCCUUGUCCAUAACUUUCUCCUCUUUUGUUUACUCCUUUGGAACUGUCAUGUUAGGGCUUUAGGAGUAUCAAAAAACACAUUUCAAGCCACCAUAUUUAACUAGAAGUAUGUUGGCCUUCUUUAUAAUUUUGGAUUAAAUUUUGAUUCUUUAGGUCUGCCUUUCCACAGAAAGUUGGAAAAUAGAAAUUCUGACUUUUUCAGCUGCAUUACAAAGCGUAAACAUGAAGUCUGAAGCCACAAUCAUGUUUGCACCAGCCUAAUAGACAGCAUCACUGCCUCAAUGGAUCUGAAUCUGAGCAAACUCUGGGAGACAGUGGAGGACAGAGGAGCCUGGUGUGCUGCAGUCUACGGAGUCAAAAAGAGUUGGACAUGACUUAGCAGCUGAACAACAAAUUCAUUAUGGACAUAUUCUUAACACCUGAUAUAAGGUAAUUAGCAGCCCAAAGCUGUAAAUAACAUCCAAGCCACUUGAAUAUGUGAAAUGCGUGCUUAUGUGAAGUUCUAGCUGUGGGAUUAUGUCAUCAGUGUGCCAACAUGGUAGUUUCUGGACAGGUUUAGCAGCUUAUUGAGAGGCUACAUGCUAAAGGGGACAAGGGAAUGGGUAGCAAGCAUUGUGAAGUGGGACACAAUUUGUAAUCACCCAGUGUGGGGAUGGUUCCCAAUCAGGCACAUCUGAGUCUCUAGACACACUCACACAGUGAAUGGACACAUUCGCAUUCCUUUACAAAGCACAGCGUACAAGCACAAAGAGCUUGAAAUUAUUUGGGGAUCCAAAAACAGUACAUGACUAAUAAUUAAGGCCUCCACACCUAACAGGGAAAAAAGGAUGCCACCAGUCCCAAGACUCAUGGCCAUAGCAGGAUAGUGUUGCUGUCAAAUGCUGGUUAGAACACACUCAGAUUACACACGGCCACUUGUCAGAGUUUCAUGCCUUUGUCAAGCUGCUGAGUGGGGCAGGUGCUGGUAGGGAGGGCCAGGGUUGGGAGUGAAGCAGCAGAACAUUUUUCUGACAGCGCAAAAGGAUAAAACUGCUUUUAGUAAUAUUCUGACAUAUUCAAAAUGGUAUCUUCCAACAUCUAAUCAAUAUAUUUUUUAAAGAACUAAUGACAGUUUCUGUUUUUUGGGGGUUUUUUUUUUUUUGGAGUAAGUCUUUAAAAUCCAGAUGUAUGACUACGUAUGUAUCAGUUCUACUCUGACAGGAUGUUUGGGAAUGAAGGCCAUGAAUCUGCAUUUUUAAUAAACUCUCUUGGUAAUUCUUA